Molecule: long non-coding RNA, 503 nt
Organism: Phalaenopsis equestris
Lineage: Eukaryota; Viridiplantae; Streptophyta; Magnoliopsida; Asparagales; Orchidaceae
Exons: 6
Source: RefSeq, a predicted model, not a curated record
GUCAGAAUAAACACACGCCUUCUAUAUCAACAAACAAAAUUUAACCUCCUCAGGGAAGAAAGUGAGGGCUAUUCCAAGCUUGUUACUCUUCUUUGUCAAAAUGGUGUAGAUGCUGUCAGCCAGAAUACAUCUUCUGGUACAAUCAGCUUAAUUAAGUCAUUGAUUGGACACUUUGAUUUGGAUCCAAAUCGUGUCUUUGACAUUGUCUUGGAAUGUUUUGAACUCUAUCAUGACAAUAGCAUAUUCUAUAGUCUCAUUCCUAUUUUUCCUAAGUCACACGCUGCCCAAAUAUUGGGCUUUAAGUUCCAGUACUAUCAAAGAAUUGAAGUUAGCUCUCCAGUGCCUUCUGGCCUUUAUCGACUUGCUGCAUUGUUGGUUAAAUCAGACUUUAUUGAUCUUGAUAGUAUAUGUGUCCAUUUACUUCCGAAGGAUGAGGAGGCAUUUGAGCAUUAUGAUGCUCUCAUUGCAAAGCGAUUUGAAGAAGUUUGUUCUUUCUUCUUUUA